CGUUUUCUUUUAUUGAAAUAUGGUAAAUAUAUUAUGUGUCAUACACGUUGUUUGACCCCUUUGUACCCUUUUCCCAAAAUGUGUAAUUUUUUUUUUAAGUAAAAAACUAAAAAAAUGUCCAUUUUUUAAAAAACAAUAUUAAAAUAAAAAAAAACGUAUCAAUGAAUGAAUGAUAUUUCUGCCUAAUUCAAUUCAUAAUGUUUGUUAUUCAAUCAAAUCUUUGGAUAGAUACCCACAUUCCUAAACCAUGAAAUUUGAGAUCCUCUCUCUAACACCUUCUUCAAGAUUUCAACUUUUUCUCUGUCUCUAAAUCUCUUUCAUUGUCUUUAUUUGAUCUUCUGAAGCUAUUACUCUGAAAAAAUGGCUGUGGCUAUGACUGCUUGGAGUCAUGGAAGUAACACAUGUCACAAUAUAAUUGGAACAACUAUGCAAUGACUGAUUUAACCCAAAAUUCAUCCCGGUCAUUUACACAACCUCAAAUUUUAUUCUAUUACUUUAUUAUAUUUUUUAUAUAUAUAUACUAAUUAAAUUAUGUAUUAUUUUUAAUUCAUUCAUUUUACGAAAUAUCUAGAAUUCUUGAUUUUUUUUAAAUUAGAUUUUUUUGAAAUUAAACGAAAUUACUAGAUGCUUCUCAGAAAUCUGCAAAUCUCCACCGAACAUGUCACUGUGUAACUUUAUACGACGUUUGUCCAAACUCCAAAUGGACAAGGACAACAAAACAUCCACAACAAAUAAAAACCAAUCCGUGAAACAUGUUACCUUAUUAACAGGUAAUAAUACAUUCAUAUAAAUUAUGUUUAAAAGUGUUUAUAAAAAAUGUGUCAUACACGUUUUCUUUUAUUGAAAUAUGGUAAAUAUAUUAUGUGUCAUACACGUUGUUUGACCCCUUUGUACCCUUUUCCCAAAAUGUGUAAUUUUUUUUUUAAGUAAAAAACUAAAAAAAUGUCCAUUUUUUAAAAAACAAUAUUAAAAUAAAAAAAAACGUAUCAAUGAAUGAAUGAUAUUUCUGCCUAAUUCAAUUCAUAAUGUUUGUUAUUCAAUCAAAUCUUUGGAUAGAUACCCACAUUCCUAAACCAUGAAAUUUGAGAUCCUCUCUCUAACACCUUCUUCAAGAUUUCAACUUUUUCUCUGUCUCUAAAUCUCUUUCAUUGUCUUUAUUUGAUCUUCUGAAGCUAUUACUCUGAAAAAAUGGCUGUGGCUAUGACUGCUUGGAGUCAUGGACCUCACCUCAGUGCUUCUGAUAAUGGCUUGAAAGCUUUGGAAAAAACCCUGUGCUGUGCCCCUAUCUUGAAGGCCUCUUCUAGGUUUGCUGCUGCUGCUAAGCCAUGCCACCUCAUUCACAAAGGAAGGUAGUCCUGGAAUUGUUGGUUUAAUAAAACCUGUGAUUCUUAGUGUUCAAUUUGUGUUCAUUUUAUGUUUCUGAUUCAUUUGCUGUUUUAACUUGUAAUGCUCCAUUUUAAAAUUUACUUGAUUCCAUUAAUACUCCCUAAAACUUGUGAUUUAAACAAAAAAAAUUGAUCUAGUAGAAGUCAUUCACUGAUAUUUGAUUCUUCCUUUGCUUGGAUGUGUAAUUUAUCCUGGCAAGUAAAGUGCCCUGCCAGGUUUGCAUGUAGAACACCCUGUAUGUAUGGUGUGGCUAAUUAAGGUAGUGAGCUGAAUAAUUCACUGAUAUAAAGCUAUGGUAUCCCCAAACAUUUUUUGCGUCUUUGAGCCUGUUUGGAUACGGACUAAAGAGUACUUAUUGAAAUUUAUCUACUACAAAAAGCAUUGGAUAAUCUCCAAAUAGUGCUCUUUGAUCCGCAUCCAAACGGGUUCUUUGUCUUCUUCUUUUUCCCUUUUUCGAAGACUGUUAAACAUUUAAAACUUGCAAUUGCAAAUUGAGAGUAAGGUUCAGCUAGGAUUGCACCAGAAUGAUGAAUGAUGUGUCCAUUCUCUGUGUUAAUUGUAUGUAC
This 1952-nucleotide long non-coding RNA is filed under the name Lotus japonicus. RNAcentral's name for it is "long non-coding RNA (LJAP_LNC001617)". The record is from RNAcentral. Lineage: Eukaryota; Viridiplantae; Streptophyta; Magnoliopsida; Fabales; Fabaceae.